Long non-coding RNA from Catharus ustulatus (Swainson's thrush), 548 nucleotides. RefSeq lists it as uncharacterized. The transcript is spliced from 3 exons. The record is from RefSeq and is a predicted model, not a curated record. NCBI's taxonomy places the organism in Eukaryota, Metazoa, Chordata, Aves, Passeriformes, Turdidae.
CUCAGGAGCAGCGCGGGCUCAGAGGGCGCAGCUGCCCUCUCCAGAGCGCCGGCACCUCAUCACCUUCAGGGAUGGCGAGGAGUGUGUGUAGCCCACCACAGAACCAGCCCAUCAUCAUCAUCUCCUGUCACCCUACAUACCCAGCACUGGAAAUCCUUUAAAACUGAAAUAAAAUGUACCUGGAGCCAUUUCUGCUGGUCGUGUUUAAAUCUGUCAGCGCUGGGCAGGGGGAGCCGCGAGCUCGCCAGCCCAGCCCCGCAUGUCGCUGCUGUGUCCCUGCGGCUCCUGCGUGUCCUGCGCAGCUCGGGUGCCGAGAGCGCUGCUAAACCCGCAGGAUCUGUGCGCAGGCAGCACGGAGGGCCCGGUGAUGCGGCCCGAGGGCUCCCCGAGGCUGGCUUUGUCCGCGCUGUCUGGGCAGUAAACGAGGCACAAGCGGCGCAUGACGAGCGCCGGGCCGGGCACAGCCGCGGUUGCACGAGCGGCUCCGCAACCUCAGCCGGGCCAUUUUCUGCCUCUCCAAUUCCUGCAUUUCCAACCCACGGCAUCCC